UUGGAGGGCAAGUCUGGUGCCAGCAGCCGCGGUAAUUCCAGCUCCAAUAGCGUAUAUUAAAGUUGUUGCAGUUAAAAAGCUCGUAGUUGAAUUUCGGGGUCAGUAGAUUGGUCAUGCCACCGGUAUGUACUGGUCUCACUGAUUCCUCCUUCCUGAUGAGCCGUAAUGCCAUUAAUUUGGUGUUGCGAGGAAUCUGGACUGUUACUUUGAAAAAAUUAGAGUGUUUAAAGCAGGCUAACGCUUGAAUACAUUAGCAUGGAAUAAUGAAAUAGGACGUUCGAUCUUAUUUUGUUGGUUUCUAAGAUUGACGUAAUGAUUAAUAGGGAUAGUUGGGGGCAUUAGUAUUCAAUUGUCAGAGGUGAAAUUCUUGGAUUUAUUGAAGACUAACUACUGCGAAAGCAUUUGCCAAGGAUGUCUUCAUUAAUCAAGAACGAAAGUUAGGGGAUCGAAGACGAUCAGAUACCGUCGUAGUCUUAACCAUAAACUAUGCCGACUAGGGAUCGGAUGAUGUUAAUUUUUUAAUGACUCAUUCGGCGCCUUACGGGAAACA
Molecule: ribosomal RNA, 550 nt
Filed under: uncultured Glomerales
Lineage: Eukaryota; Fungi; Glomeromycota; Glomeromycetes; Glomerales; Glomeraceae
Description: SSU rRNA
Rfam family: Eukaryotic small subunit ribosomal RNA
Source: RNAcentral